This 252-nucleotide ribosomal RNA is filed under the name uncultured bacterium. Its description in RNAcentral is "partial 16S ribosomal RNA". It matches the Rfam family "Bacterial small subunit ribosomal RNA", at positions 524 to 775 of the family's 1533-position model. The record is from RNAcentral.
UACAGAGGGGGCAAGCGUUGUUCGGAAUUACUGGGCGUAAAGGGCGCGUAGGCGGCCUUCUAAGUCGAACGUGAAAUCCCCGGGCUCAACCCGGGAACUGCGUCCGAUACUGGCAGGCUUGAAUUCGGGAGAGGGAUGCGGAAUUCCAGGUGUAGCGGUGAAAUGCGUAGAUAUCUGGAGGAACACCGGUGGCGAAGGCGGCAUCCUGGACCAAUAUUGACGCUGAGGAGCGAAAGCCAGGGGAGCAAACGG